AAGUAGUCUCCAAGCUGGUCACUGUAUAGUCGCUGCCCAGAGAAAGGUAUACCAUCCGGUGUAUGUGAAGCUCGAAGAAAGACAUAGACAUCCGGCACUACUGUUCUACCCUAAUCAGAGGAUCUGGUUGAUAUUCACUGGAAG
Molecule: long non-coding RNA, 144 nt
Organism: Solanum tuberosum (potato)
Lineage: Eukaryota; Viridiplantae; Streptophyta; Magnoliopsida; Solanales; Solanaceae
Exons: 3
Source: RefSeq, a predicted model, not a curated record